AGAGUUUGAUCAUGGCUCAGGAUGAACGCUGGCGGCGUGCUUAACACAUGCAAGUCGAACGAUGAAGCCCAGCUUGCUGGGUGGAUUAGUGGCGAACGGGUGAGUAACACGUGAGUAACCUGCCCCUGACUCUGGGAUAAGCCCGGGAAACUGGGUCUAAUACCGGAUAUGACCAUGGGACGCAUGUCUUGUGGUGGAAAGAUUUAUCGGUUGGGGAUGGACUCGCGGCCUAUCAGCUUGUUGGUGAGGUAAUGGCUCACCAAGGCGACGACGGGUAGCCGGCCUGAGAGGGUGACCGGCCACACUGGGACUGAGACACGGCCCAGACUCCUACGGGAGGCAGCAGUGGGGAAUAUUGCACAAUGGGCGCAAGCCUGAUGCAGCGACGCCGCGUGAGGGAUGACGGCCUUCGGGUUGUAAACCUCUUUCAGUAGGGAAGAAGCGAGAGUGACGGUACCCGCAGAAGAAGCGCCGGCUAACUACGUGCCAGCAGCCGCGGUAAUA
Molecule: ribosomal RNA, 504 nt
Filed under: uncultured Arthrobacter sp.
Lineage: Bacteria; Bacillati; Actinomycetota; Actinomycetes; Micrococcales; Micrococcaceae
Description: bacterial SSU rRNA
Rfam family: Bacterial small subunit ribosomal RNA
Source: RNAcentral